UCCACUUGACAAUCGCUUGUAAUGCUGGC
This 29-nucleotide small RNA is filed under the name Bombyx mori (domestic silkworm). RNAcentral's name for it is "ovarian small RNA-2027". Lineage: Eukaryota; Metazoa; Arthropoda; Insecta; Lepidoptera; Bombycidae. The record is from RNAcentral.